GAUGAACGCUAGCGGGAGGCCUAACACAUGCAAGCCGAGCGGUAUUUGUCUUUCGGGACAGAGAGAGCGGCGUACGGGUGCGGAACACGUGUGCAACCUGCCUUUAUCAGGGGGAUAGCCUUUCGAAAGGAAGAUUAAUACCCCAUAAUAUAUUAGAUGGCAUCACUUGAUAUUGAAAACUCCGGUGGAUAGAGAUGGGCACGCGCAAGAUUAGAUAGUUGGUAGGGUAACGGCCUACCAAGUCAGUGAUCUUUAGGGGGCCUGAGAGGGUGAUCCCCCACACUGGUACUGAGACACGGACCAGACUCCUACGGGAGGCAGCAGUGAGGAAUAUUGGACACUGGGUUAGCGCCUGAUCCAGCCAUCCCGCGUGAAGGACGACUGCCCUAUGGGUUGUAAACUUCUUUUGUACAGGGAUAAACCUUUCCACGUGUGGAAAGCUGAAGGUACUGUACGAAUAAGCACCGGCUAACUCCGUGCCAGCCGCCGCGGUAA
This 495-nucleotide ribosomal RNA is filed under the name uncultured bacterium. RNAcentral describes it as "partial 16S ribosomal RNA". It matches the Rfam family "Bacterial small subunit ribosomal RNA", at positions 28 to 523 of the family's 1533-position model. The record is from RNAcentral.